RNAcentral lists this ribosomal RNA (2247 nucleotides) under human gut metagenome. RNAcentral describes it as "bacterial LSU rRNA". It matches the Rfam family "Bacterial large subunit ribosomal RNA", at positions 506 to 2841 of the family's 2925-position model. The record is from RNAcentral.
AAGGAAAGGUGAAAAGCACCCCGGGAGGGGAGUGAAAGAGAACCUGAAACCUUGUGUUUACAAGCACCGAAAGUCCAUCAAAGGACGAUCGGGUACCUUUUGUAGAAUGGUCCGGCGAGUGUAUGUAUCUAGCAAGGUUAAGCACUUAAGGUGUGAAGCCAAAGCGAAAGCAAGUCUGAACAGGGCGACAAGUUAGAUGUAUACGACCCGAAACCGGGUGACCUACCCAUGGCCAGGCUGAAGUGAAGGUAAAACUUCAUGGAGGGCCGAACCGACUCCCGUUGAAAUGGUAGCGGAUGAGUUGUGGGUAGCGGAGAAAUUCCAAUCGAACCCGGAGAUAGCUGGUUCUCUCCGAAAUAGCUUUAGGGCUAGCCUUGAAAUAGAUUACUGGAGGUAAAGCACUGAAUUGGCUAGGGGCCGAAAGGUUACUGAACCUUAUCAAACUCAGAAUGCCAGAUAAUCGUUUUUCAGGAGUCAGACGGUGGGAGAUAAGUUUCAUCGUCAAAAGGGAAACAGCCCAGACCCACAGCUAAGGUCCCAAAUUAUAGUUAAGUGGAGAAGGAUGUGGGAUUGCAUAGACAACCAGGAUGUUGGCUUAGAAGCAGCCACUCAUUAAAAGAGUGCGUAAUAGCUCACUGGUCGAGUGAUCCCGCGCCGAAAAUUUAACGGGGCUAAACUAUAAACCGAAGCUUGGGAUACCGUAAGGUAUGGUAGGAGAGCGUCAUGUAAGGGGUGAAGUCAUAGCGAAAGCGGUGGUGGACUUUACAUGAGUGAGAAUGCCGGAAUGAGUAGCGAGAAUUAAGUGAGAAUCUUAAUGGCCGAAAGUCUAAGGUUUUUGGAGGAAGGUUCGUCCGCUCCAAGUAAGUCGGGAGCUAAGGCGAGGCCGAAAGGCGUAGUCGAUGCACAUACGGUUGAUAUUCCGUAACCACUGACAACUUAAACAAAAUGACACUUUAGAAGGGCUUGACCCGGGUGCUGGUAAUCCCGGGCGUAAGGGACCGAAAAUUAGUAGGGAAGCAAGCUUAGAUAGAGGCGAGAAAAGUUUUGUGUAUGUAAUGUUGGUGCCCGUACCGCAAACCGACACAGGUGGACAGGAAGAGAAUUCUAAGGCCAGCGGGAGAAGGGUAGUUAAGGAACUCGGCAAAUUGACUCCGUAACUUCGGGAAAAGGAGUGCUCUCGAGAGAGAGCCGCAGUGAAUAGGCCCAGGCGACUGUUUAGCAAAAACACAGGUCUCUGCCAAAUCGAAAGAUGAAGUAUAGGGGCUGACACCUGCCCGGUGCUGGAAGGUUAAGAGGAGGAGUGAGAGCUCCGAAUUGAAGCCCCAGUAAACGGCGGCCGUAACUAUAACGGUCCUAAGGUAGCGAAAUUCCUUGUCGGGUAAGUUCCGACCCGCACGAAUGGUGUAACGAUCUGGGCACUGUCUCAACUACCCGCCCGGCGAAAUUGUAGUACCGGUGAAGAUGCCGGUUACCCGCGACAAGACGGAAAGACCCCAUGGAGCUUUACUGUAGCUUGAUAUUGGGUUUCGGUAAUUUAUGUACAGGAUAUGUGGGAGACUGGGAAGUUAUGGCGCCAGCCAUAAUGGAGUCGAUGUUGGGAUACCACACUUAGAUUGCUGGAAUUCUAACCUGUGGCCAUGAAACUGGUCAGGGGACAUUGUCAGGUGGGCAGUUUGACUGGGGCGGUCGCCUCCGAAAGAGUAACGGAGGCGCUCAAAGGUUGGCUCAGCACGGACGGAAACCGUGCAUUAGAGUGUAAACGCGAAAGCCAGCCUAACUGCGAGGGUGACGGCCCGAGCAGUAACGAAAGUUGGAGUUAGUGAUCCGGCGGUAUGUGAAUGGAAAUGCCGUCGCUCAACGGAUAAAAGCUACCCUGGGGAUAACAGGCUGAUCUCCCCCAAGAGUCCACAUCGACGGGGAGGUUUGGCACCUCGAUGUCGGCUCAUCACAUCCUGGGGCUGUAUUCGGUCCCAAGGGUUCGGCUGUUCGCCGAUUAAAGUGGUACGCGAGCUGGGUUCAGAACGUCGUGAGACAGUUCGGUCCCUAUCUGUCGUGGGCGCAGGAUAUUUGAAGGGCUCUGUCCUUAGUACGAGAGGACCGGGAUGGACGCACCUCUGGUGCACCAGUUGUCACGCCAGUGGCACAGCUGGGCAGCUAUGUGCGGAACGGAUAAACGCUGAAAGCAUCUAAGCGUGAAGCCGACUCCAAGAUUAGAUAUCCCAUCAGAAUAUGAGUAAGACCCCUUGU